This 71-nucleotide transfer RNA is filed under the name Acinetobacter phage Acj61. It matches the Rfam family "tRNA". From Rfam's summary of the family: Transfer RNA (tRNA) molecules are approximately 80 nucleotides in length. Their secondary structure includes four short double-helical elements and three loops (D, anti-codon, and T loops). Lineage: Duplodnaviria; Heunggongvirae; Uroviricota; Caudoviricetes; Pantevenvirales; Straboviridae. The record is from Rfam by way of RNAcentral.
AGGUCGCUAGUGUAAUGGUACCACGACGGGCUCCAACCCCGUUAAUCUUCGUUCGAAUCGAAGGCGAUUCU